Molecule: ribosomal RNA, 467 nt
Filed under: uncultured bacterium
Lineage: Bacteria
Description: partial 16S ribosomal RNA
Rfam family: Bacterial small subunit ribosomal RNA
Source: RNAcentral
GAUGAACGCUGGCGGCGCGCCUAACACAUGCAAGUCGAACGAUUAAAGCACCUUCGGGUGUGUAUAAAGUGGCGAACGGCUGAGUAACACGUGGGCAACCUGCCCCUUUCAUUGGGAUAGCCACGGGAAACCGUGGAUAAUACCGAAUACUUCGAGACUUCCGCAUGGAAGACUCGAGAAAGCUCCGGCGGCGAGGGAUGGGCCCGCGGCCUGUUAGCUUGUUGGUGGGGUAACGGCCUACCAAGGCAAUGAUGAGUAGCUGGGUUGAGAGACCGACCAGCCAGAUUGGGACUGAGACACGGCCCAGACUCCUACGGGAGGCAGCAGUGGGGAAUCUUGCACAAUGGGCGAAAGCCUGAUGCAGCGACGCCGCGUGCGGGAUGAAGGCCUUCGGGUUGUAAACCGCUUUCAGCAGGGACGAGGCGAAAGUGACGGUACCUGCAGAAGAAGCCCCGGCUAACUACGUG